ACGAACGCUGGCGGCGUGCUUAACACAUGCAAGUCGAACGGAAAGGCCCUGCUUUUGUGGGGUGCUCGCGUGGCGAACGGGUGAGUAACACGUGAGUAACCUGCCCUUGACUUUGGGAUAACUUCAGGAAACUGGGGCUAAUACCGGAUAGGAUCUCCUGCUGCAUGGUGGGGGUUGGAAAGUUUCGGCGGUUGGGGAUGGACUCGCGGCUUAUCAGCUUGUUGGUGGGGUAGUGGCUUACCAAGGCUUUGACGGGUAGCCGGCCUGAGAGGGUGACCGGCCACAUUGGGACUGAGAUACGGCCCAGACUCCUACGGGAGGCAGCAGUGGGGAAUAUUGCACAAUGGGCGGAAGCCUGAUGCAGCAACGCCGCGUGCGGGAUGACGGCCUUCGGGUUGUAAACCGCUUUCGCCUGUGACGAAGCGUGAGUGACGGUAAUGGGUAAAGAAGCACCGGCUAACUACGUG
This 467-nucleotide ribosomal RNA is filed under the name uncultured bacterium. RNAcentral describes it as "partial 16S ribosomal RNA". It matches the Rfam family "Bacterial small subunit ribosomal RNA", at positions 29 to 507 of the family's 1533-position model. The record is from RNAcentral.